This is a long non-coding RNA of Protopterus annectens (West African lungfish), 104 nucleotides long. RefSeq lists it as uncharacterized. The transcript has 3 exons. The record is from RefSeq and is a predicted model, not a curated record. NCBI's taxonomy places the organism in Eukaryota, Metazoa, Chordata, Ceratodontiformes, Protopteridae.
GGUACAGUGGGCGCCCAUAUUUGUGAUGAUUAAAUCCAAUAUGUUGUCCCCUCUAGUGGGGGAACAUACUAAUUGUUCAAGGGCAUUUGAAUUUAUAAAUUCCA